GACGAACGCUGGCGGCGUGCUUAACACAUGCAAGUCGAACGGUAAGGCCCUUCGGGGUACACGAGUGGCGAACGGGUGAGUAACACGUGGGUGAUCUGCCCUGCACUUCGGGAUAAGCUUGGGAAACUGGGUCUAAUACCGGAUAGGACCACGGUCUGCAUGGAUUGUGGUGGAAAGCUUUUGCGGUGUGGGAUGGGCCCGCGGCCUAUCAGCUUGUUGGUGGGGUGAUGGCCUACCAAGGCGACGACGGGUAGCCGGCCUGAGAGGGUGUCCGGCCACACUGGGACUGAGAUACGGCCCAGACUCCUACGGGAGGCAGCAGUGGGGAAUAUUGCACAAUGGGCGCAAGCCUGAUGCAGCGACGCCGCGUGGGGGGAUGACGGCCUUCGGGUUGUAACCGUCUUUCUAGCAGGGACGAAGGGUGAC
RNAcentral lists this ribosomal RNA (426 nucleotides) under uncultured bacterium. RNAcentral's name for it is "bacterial SSU rRNA". It matches the Rfam family "Bacterial small subunit ribosomal RNA", at positions 28 to 456 of the family's 1533-position model. The record is from RNAcentral.